AGCAGUAGCCGCGGUAAUACGUAGGUGGCAAGCAUUGUCCGGAAUUAUUGGGCGUAAAGCGCGCGCAGGCGGAUCAGUUAGUCUGUCUUAAAAGUGCGGGGCUCAACCCCGUGAGGGGAGAGAAACUACUCAUCUUGAGUGCAGGAGAGGAAAGCGGAAUUCCUAGUGUAGCGGUGAAAUGCGUAGAUAUUAGGAAGAACACCAGUGGCGAAGGCGGCUUUCUGGACUGUAACUGACGCUGAGGCUCGAAAGCCAGGGGAGCGAACGGGAUUAGAUACCCCCGUAGUCCCUGUCUCUUAUACA
Molecule: ribosomal RNA, 303 nt
Filed under: uncultured bacterium
Lineage: Bacteria
Description: partial 16S ribosomal RNA
Rfam family: Bacterial small subunit ribosomal RNA
Source: RNAcentral